Molecule: transfer RNA, 85 nt
Organism: Felis catus (domestic cat)
Lineage: Eukaryota; Metazoa; Chordata; Mammalia; Carnivora; Felidae
Rfam family: tRNA
About the family: Transfer RNA (tRNA) molecules are approximately 80 nucleotides in length. Their secondary structure includes four short double-helical elements and three loops (D, anti-codon, and T loops).
Source: Rfam
GCCUGGGUGGCUCAGUCGGUUGAGCAUCUGACUUCGGCUCAGGUCAUGAUCUCACAGUCUGUGAGUUCGAGCCCUGCGUCGGGCU